CCUACGGGAGGCAGCAGUGAGGAAUAUUGGUCAAUGGACGCGAGCCUGAACCAGCCAAGUCGCGUGAAGGAAGACGGCCCUAUGGAUUGUAAACUUCUUUUGUCCGGGAGCAAAAGCCGCCACGCGUGUCUUUCUGAAAGUACCCUAAGAAUAAGCAUCGGCUAACUCCGUGCCAGCAGCCGCGGUAAUACGGAGGAUUCGAGCGUUAUCCGGAUUUAUUUGGUUUAAAGGGUGCGGAGGGGGGUAGUUAAGUCAGCGGUGAAAUUUAGAGGGUCAACCUCUUAAUAGCCGUUGAUACUGGUAGUCUUGAGUGAAGUUGAGGUAGGCGGAAUGCGUGGUGUAGCGGUGAAAUGCUUAGAUAUCACGCAGAACUCCGAUUGCGAAGGCAGCAUACC
This 395-nucleotide ribosomal RNA is filed under the name uncultured bacterium. RNAcentral describes it as "partial 16S ribosomal RNA". It matches the Rfam family "Bacterial small subunit ribosomal RNA", at positions 338 to 730 of the family's 1533-position model. The record is from RNAcentral.